This 735-nucleotide ribosomal RNA is filed under the name uncultured bacterium. RNAcentral's name for it is "bacterial SSU rRNA". It matches the Rfam family "Bacterial small subunit ribosomal RNA", at positions 69 to 819 of the family's 1533-position model. The record is from RNAcentral.
CGAGAGAGAGCUUGCUUUCUCGAGCGAGUGGCGAACGGGUGAGUAACGCGUGAGGAACCUGCCUCAAAGAGGGGGACAACAGUUGGAAACGACUGCUAAUACCGCAUAAGCCCACGGGUCGGCAUCGACCAGAGGGAAAAGGAGCAAUCCGCUUUGAGAUGGCCUCGCGUCCGAUUAGCUAGUUGGUGAGGUAACGGCCCACCAAGGCAACGAUCGGUAGCCGGACUGAGAGGUUGAACGGCCACAUUGGGACUGAGACACGGCCCAGACUCCUACGGGAGGCAGCAGUGGGGAAUAUUGCACAAUGGGGGAAACCCUGAUGCAGCGACGCCGCGUGGAGGAAGAAGGUCUUCGGAUUGUAAACUCCUGUUGUUGAGGAAGAUAAUGACGGUACUCAACAAGGAAGUGACGGCUAACUACGUGCCAGCAGCCGCGGUAAAACGUAGGUCACAAGCGUUGUCCGGAAUUACUGGGUGUAAAGGGAGCGCAGGCGGGAAGACAAGUUGGAAGUGAAAUCCAUGGGCUCAACCCAUGAACUGCUUUCAAAACUGUCUUUCUUGAGUAGUGCAGAGGUAGGCGGAAUUCCCGGUGUAGCGGUGGAAUGCGUAGAUAUCGGGAGGAACACCAGUGGCGAAGGCGGCCUACUGGGCACCAACUGACGCUGAGGCUCGAAAGUGUGGGUAGCAAACAGGAUUAGAUACCCUGGUAGUCCACACCGUANACGAUGAUUACUAG